RNAcentral lists this non-coding RNA (85 nucleotides) under Metapseudomonas resinovorans. Its description in RNAcentral is "Pseudomonas resinovorans SAH sequence". It matches the Rfam family "SAH (S-adenosyl-L-homocysteine) riboswitch aptamer". The record is from RNAcentral. Lineage: Bacteria; Pseudomonadati; Pseudomonadota; Gammaproteobacteria; Pseudomonadales; Pseudomonadaceae. RNAcentral also lists the same sequence under 1 other name.
CCAUUCGAGGGGCGCUGCAGCAAACCGGUGGUUUGUCAGGCUCGAAUGGGGCGUUAUCAAAACGCAUCAACGGCGCCCAUUCGCA